Molecule: ribosomal RNA, 1639 nt
Filed under: human oral metagenome
Description: bacterial LSU rRNA
Rfam family: Bacterial large subunit ribosomal RNA
Source: RNAcentral
CCAAUCGAACUCGGAUAUAGCUGGUUCUCCUCGAAAUAGCUUUAGGGCUAGCCUCAAGGUAAAGAUACACGGGGGUAGAGCACUGACUGUUCGCGGGGCCUUCACCGGUUACCAACAACUAUCAAACUCCGAAUACCGUGGUAUCAUACUUGGGAGUCAGACUAUGAGAGAUAAGUUCCAUGGUCGAAAGGGAAACAGCCCAGAUCAACAGCUAAGGUCCCAAAGAGUAAGUUAAGUGGAAAAGGAUGUGGGAUUGCACAAACAGCUAGGAUGUUGGCUUAGAAGCAGCCAUACAUUUAAAGAGUGCGUAAUAGCUCACUAGUCGAGUGAUCCUGCGCCGAAGAUAAACGGGGCUCAAACUUACCACCGAAGCUUUGGAAUUAGUAUAACUAAUUGGUAGAGGAGCAUUCUAUACAGGUAGAAGGAGGCGCGUAAGCAAAUCUGGACAGUAUAGAAGAGAGAAUGUUGGCAUGAGUAGCGUAAGGCGGGUGAGAAUCCCGUCCGCCGAAAAUCUAAGGUUUCCUGAGGAAGGUUCGUCCUCUCAGGGUAAGUCGGGACCUAAGCCGAGAGCGAACGCUGUAGGCGAUGGAUAACAGGUUGAUAUUCCUGUACCACCAAGGAUUGUUUGAAUGAAGUGGGGACACAGAAGGAUAGAUUGAGCACGCCGUUGGUUGAGCGUGUCCAAGCAGUAAGGCUUGAAAGUAGGCAAAUCCGCUUUCUAAAAGGCUGAGCUGUGAUGGGGUGGUCGAAUGACCGGUAGCAAUCGAUUUCACGCUGUCAAGAAAAGCCGCUAAUGAGAUCCAAGGUGCCCGUACCGCAAACCGACACAGGUAGAUGAGGAGAGAAUCCUAAGGUGAGCGAGAGAACUAUUGUUAAGGAACUCGGCAAAAUAACCCCGUAACUUCGGGAGAAGGGGUGCCUGCUUCGGCAGGCCGCAGUGAAAAGGCCCAGGCAACUGUUUACCAAAAACACAGGUCUCUGCAAAAGCGAAAGCUGAAGUAUAGGGGCUGACGCCUGCCCGGUGCUGGAAGGUUAAGGUGAAGUGUAAGGGUAACCGAAGCACAGAACUUAAGCCCCAGUAAACGGCGGCCGUAACUAUAACGGUCCUAAGGUAGCGAAAUUCCUUGUCGGGUAAGUUCCGACCCGCACGAAAGGCGUAAUGAUCUGGGCACUGUCUCAACAAUAGACUCGGUGAAAUUGUAGUACCGGUAAAGAUGCCGGUUACCCGCAGCAGGACGGAAAGACCCCGUGGAGCUUUACUGUAGCUUGAUAUUGAUUUUCGGCAUUGCAUGUACAGGAUAGGUGGGAGACGUUGAGUUCAGCACGCCAGUGUUGGAGGAGUCACCGUUGGGAUACCACCCUUGUAAUGUUGGAAAUCUAACCUAGUACCGUGAUCCGGUACAGGGACAGUGUCAGGUGGGCAGUUUGACUGGGGCGGUCGCCUCCUAAAGAGUAACGGAGGCGCCCAAAGGUUCCCUCAGCGCGGACGGAAAUCGCGCGAAGAGUGCAAAGGCAAAAGGGAGCUUGACUGCGAGACAUACAGGUCGAGCAGGGACGAAAGUCGGGCUUAGUGAUCCGGUGGUUCCGAGUGGAAGGGCCAUCGCUCAACGGAUAAAAGCUACCCCGGGGAUAACAGGCU